This is a long non-coding RNA of Vitis riparia (riverbank grape), 733 nucleotides long. RefSeq lists it as uncharacterized. The record is from RefSeq and is a predicted model, not a curated record. Lineage: Eukaryota; Viridiplantae; Streptophyta; Magnoliopsida; Vitales; Vitaceae. The transcript has 3 exons.
AAGUGUCAAAUGAUGUUGUACAAAGGUAUCGAGGGCGAAAGUACUAUCCAACACAAAAUGUUUUAGCAGCAUGUUCCUUUGACUUGAAGUUCACAUAUGUUUUACCUGGUUGGGAAGGAUCUGCGUCAAACUCGAGAAUCCUAGAUAAUGCAUUAAUGAGAGAUUUUGAUAAAUUGAUUGUUCCACAAGAUGGAACAUAGUGAAGGCUUUGAAGUACACAAAAGUGUAAGUGAAAAAAGAAACUUGACUUGGAUUGAUGAAAUGGACAACUUUUUGGUUGAUCGAUUAAUGGAGCAAAUGCAUAAAGGGCAAAAGAUAGGAGGAGUCUUCACCAAGACAGCUUAUGCAAUGGUUGCGCGAGAAAUUGGGGAAAAUUUUGAAUUGAGUUGUAACUCUGAGCACAUAAAAAAUAGAAUGAAAACUUUAAAAAAAAACUUUUAUGCUGCUCAAGAAGUUUUACAAAAUGGUAGUGGAUUUGGUUUCAAUGAAUCAACUCAAAUGAUCGAAGCUACCACGGAAGUAUGGACUACUUACACUAAGGCACACCCAGGAGCAUCUCAGCUCAGACACAAACCUAUUAGAAAUUAUGAUAAGUUGUCCAUUCUUCUUGGAAAAGAUCGAGCAACAGGAAGUCUUGCUGCAGGUGCAAAAGAAAGACAACUUCGUUGGGCCCAGGAACAAAAUUUGGAUGACACAAUUCCAUUAGGAUCAUCACAACAUGGGAUUAGAGAUG